GCUCACCGGUAAACCCAUCAAAUGAAAGGGAACAGGGGGGCUCUCCACUUCUCCACUGGAAUGUCCCUGCAAGAAGGGCUGAUCCUCAACUGAGUUCAUCCUACCCACCACACCUCCCACCCGCCACAGCAUCAUGAGCAGGUACAUUCCCAAGUCGUACAGCAAACCUUAGGUCUUGUAGAAAGACAGCACAAUGACUUUGAAAAUAUGUUAUUGAAAAUGGCUGCAGGUUUAACAUUGAUCGGUGAUUUGGGUUUGCCAGCUUCUUCAGGGGAUGCUGCCUGUUUCCACUCUGAAGCCCUCCAGCACCAGGCAGCACUCUGCACUCUAGUGAUGCUCAGUUCAGCUCAACCCAACGCAGGCCAUGCUGCAGUCAGUGUAACAGCAGCUGAAGUGGUUUUACAGGUCUCACGCACAGCUGAGGCAAUGAUUUUUCUUCAAGGACUUGUAUACUUCUUCCCAGUGACUCCUCUCUGCCUGCAGUCCUCUGUCCUACAACUGUGUGCUCUGCAGAAGGUCGUGGUUUCAGCCCAGAUGCAACACCUUUAGAGAAGUGACCUGACUGAAUCUGUUUUGUCUUUUUUUUUUUUAAAGCUUUCUACUCCUACCCAUAUUCUGUGUGCUUGCUCCCAGCUUGCGAAACCUUCAUACUGGUUGCAAAGGACUUAAUAUUCUGAGAGGAUCCAUUUCUUCCCUCACCUACACAACUUUAACAAUGAACUUUUUAUGGGACAUUCCAAAUAAUAAGAAAUCUCCACAAUAACUAUAUGUGCUGACUUCUGUCUUAGAGCUGUGCUAUCAAAAUCAGCCGAGCUACAUGUCUGCACAAUGUCUUGGCACUGGAAGAAGAGUCUGAACUCCACCUUUCAAACCCUCUCCAUGUCAUGAGAGAUGCUUGUGCACGGACGGUGUGUCCCAGAUGUGCAGCCACAUGUGGGCAAGGGAGUGAACGCAGAUCAACGGCAUUGCAGAAGAUGCACAGCUAUGCCACAGAGGUCCACAAUUAGUGUCCCACAGGCUCGCAGUGCCUUGCACCUGGAAACGAGCGCACUGGAUAGUGUGCUGUGCAUUACACUUGGAUUUCAGCCAUUGGGAGCAACAUGGGAAUAUCAGCCAGGAAUAAAUUCCCCAGAACAUUUUCGGUUUCCAGGCCUCAGAUGGACUUGAACUUGGUCUAAUAUAGCUUGGCUGCUGUAGACCACUCUACUAUUAAUAUCUCUUCAGUUGCUUGAGGACAUCAGGUCCCUCAUACUUCUCAAUUCAUAGGAGAUUAUGCUGAAUAAGUGAUUUCUGCUUAUGGAAAAUCUCCUACUAUGCAGGAACCCAAGGCA
Catharus ustulatus (Swainson's thrush) is the source of this 1331-nucleotide long non-coding RNA. RefSeq lists it as uncharacterized. The transcript has 5 exons. NCBI's taxonomy places the organism in Eukaryota, Metazoa, Chordata, Aves, Passeriformes, Turdidae. The record is from RefSeq and is a predicted model, not a curated record.